This 582-nucleotide long non-coding RNA is filed under the name Homo sapiens (human). Its description in RNAcentral is "FGGY divergent transcript". Lineage: Eukaryota; Metazoa; Chordata; Mammalia; Primates; Hominidae. The record is from RNAcentral.
UUUGGAAUAUUUUUAGAAGGAAUGGUACCAGCUCUUCUUUGUACCUCUAGUAGAAUUCGGCUCUGAAUUUGGUUCCACUCUCCCCAUCACUUUCAGGUACACCAACCAAAGGAAAAACAUCCAGGCAAGUGGACAGCAUUUGCAACAGCCCAGCAAUAAGAAGGACCAUAUUCUACUUGGGAAAAGGUAAAGUCGUUUCAUAUGGACGGAGCCUGCCAGGAAACCUGUCAUUCAACCCUUUGCAAUAAAACAGCUCCUCAUGAAUGAAGCAAAAUAAAUCAGAAGUUGUGGGCUUUUAAACUCACUAAAUGAAAGCACAGCAUGCAUGCAGCCUCCCUCCAAAUUAAUCACCAGAUUAAAUGCAAGAUGUGCACACCAAAUCAAUAGCUUGUGACGGGGACCUCCUGCCUGUGCUUCAGGAAAAUUCCAUUUCCUUUCAGAUGUUGUCGCUUGAAAUGUCAGGAAGUUUCCAUUCAUCACCCGCCCUUGAAAAUGCCACCAUCACCAUACUUCAUGUUUCCUUGCUUUCUUUCUUCAGAGGAAUCCAAGCACCUUGCAGAGGGAGCCCACUCCUUGUCACAG